UGAGUACAGUAGAGGUGGGCGGAAUUCGUGGUGUAGCGGUGAAAUNNNUAGAUAUCACGAAGAACUCCGAUUGUGAAGGCAGCUCACUGGACUGCAACUGACACUGAUGCUCGAAAGUGUGGGUAUCAAACAGNNNUAGAUACCCNGGUAGUCCACACAGNAAACGAUGAANACUCGCUGUUUGCGAUAUACAGUGAGCGGCCAAGCGAAAGCAUUAAGUAUUCCACCUGGGGAGUACGCCNGCAACGGNNAAACUCAAAGGAAUUGACGGGNNCCCGCACAAGCGGAGGAACANNUGGUUUAAUUAGAUGAUACGCGAGGAACCUUACCCGGGCUUAAAUUGCAGUGGAAUGAUNNGGANNNAUGUCAGUGAGCAAUCACCGCUGUGAAGGUGCUGCAUGGUUGUCGUCAGCUCGUGCCGUGAGGUGUCGGCUUAAGUGCCAUAACGAGCGCAACCCUUAUCUUCAGUUACUAACAGGUCAUGCUGAGGACUCUGGAGAGACUGCCGUCGUAAGAUGUGAGGAAGGUGGGGAUGACGUCAAAUCAGCACGGCCCUUACGUCCGGGGCUACACACGUGUUACAAUGGGGGGUACAGAAGGCAGCUAGCGGGUGACCGUAUGCUAAUCCCAAAAUCC
Molecule: ribosomal RNA, 636 nt
Filed under: uncultured bacterium
Lineage: Bacteria
Description: partial 16S ribosomal RNA
Rfam family: Bacterial small subunit ribosomal RNA
Source: RNAcentral